Molecule: long non-coding RNA, 973 nt
Organism: Columba livia (rock pigeon)
Lineage: Eukaryota; Metazoa; Chordata; Aves; Columbiformes; Columbidae
Exons: 3
Source: RefSeq, a predicted model, not a curated record
CACACAGGGACAGUUAUUUUUUGUUCUCACUCAGCUCCUCUUUCACAUGCAGGCAGGCACACAUGCACACACACACACACACACACUGCAUCCCUCCCGUUCUGUUGCACUUAAGUCCAGAUUUGCUCUGACCAUUCCCGCACGCAAGCGGAGAGCGACACAACACCACGGUGCCUACGACCAUAGAAACUGCCACAGAGGUGGGGGGCAGAGAGCGUCUUCAAGGUUGCUGUCAUCUGGAAUUUUAUGUCCUUCAUUUUCUUUCACUCUGUAUGCCUGUCACAUCAGCUUAACUAUCACAGAAGACCCUGUUUGCCUUCAAGCCUGCCUGGUUUCUUGCAGCCUUAUUGUCUCAUGUGAAAAAAGAAGAUAUGACUUCCUACAGUCCUGGGCUGUAACUCUGCAAGUCAGCUUGGAGAUUGGAAAAACUGUAGUGCUUCUUGGGAAGAAUAUAUAUUUUCAUUUCUGCAGUGCGAGCAACGUCAUUAAUCCUGCACAAGCAGAUAUGCGUCACUCUUAGAUGUGACUAUUUUUCAGAAUUGAUGCAAAAAAUGCAACCUAUUGUGAUUUGUGUUUUAAAGAAGUGUAGCAGAGGCUGAUCAGCACUGUGUCCACAGUCUGGAGGCAAAGUCCUGUGCUUAUACAGGCAAAUUACAGAUCUGGAUGAACAGCAAGAGCAAGCCCUUCAUUCCUGGAGAAUUUUCUCUACUGCCAUGUCCGGUUAUAUAAAAUAUGACAUUCAAAUGGGGGGAGGGGUGGGCCUAAUCCUAGUCCAAGUUAAGCGUGUCUAACUUCAAAGUUUUAUGCUUUGACACUAUCCACAUUGAGACAGAUACUGCAUGUUGCUCACUCUUCUUCCUCUUCACACGUUUAUCGCUGAGAAGUAGUUGUACAAAAUUGCAUUAGAAAGCGGUGCUUUGAGAGACUGUAUCCCCAUUUCCUCCAGUAAAGCACAGUCAUACAGACCUUAAAA